RNAcentral lists this long non-coding RNA (998 nucleotides) under Solanum tuberosum (potato). RNAcentral describes it as "long non-coding RNA (STUB_LNC011511)". The record is from RNAcentral. Lineage: Eukaryota; Viridiplantae; Streptophyta; Magnoliopsida; Solanales; Solanaceae.
UUGUCUCAAAACCACAUCUAGUAGAGUCUUGUUCAUAAUGUGAAGCGCGCCACAUUAUGAAUAGGAGGCUAUUGGGUGCUAAGAAAGUUUCACUUCUUCAUUGUUUUAGUCGUGCCAUGGAGUUUCUCUCUAUAAUGUCUUCCCUUGUUCCGUAUGUGAUGGUCAUUUGGGUGUUACCUUUGAGGAAGUUUUAAUGUUGCAAGGGUUGAGGGAGAAAGAAUGUUGGUUGUGAUGCCAACUUUGACUUGGUGACUUAGUAGGUGUGAGGUGAAAGAUUGUGGUGAUGACUUUAGUAUGAAUGGGAUUCCUUUGGUUAUGUGUGUUGUUGGUAGUAUCCGGCUUAGUCAUGAGGAAGUUUUGUGAUGUGUUGAAGGAAUUUGUGAAAUGUGUGGUGAUUUAGAAAUGCUAGGUGUAAUGAGUAUAAAAGCCUGUUGUUUUGAUCCGACCUUAGGAUGGAAGGAGGUGAAUUUGAAAGAGCUAGUAAGAGUUUCUCCUAAGUGGGGGAAAUAUGUGGUUAGAUGAUAAGGUCUUUAAGUGUGGUUGAUGUUUAUGAGUUAGGCUUGAAGGAUGUUUUCAUUACAAGAGGUUUAGUGAAUUAAAGAGUUGGGUAAGAAUGGUUUUGGUAAGAUUGAUGGUAUUUUCAUUGAGAUUUUUAUGAGAUGUUAAGGUUGACCUUAGUUGGGUUUACCCUUAAGUGGGGAUGGUAUGUUGAGUAGUGAAGUUGUUGAGAAGUGUUGAUAUCCUUACCUACUUCUAUAUGUGCUUACUCAAGCCUAAAACAAAGAGUUCCUAGAAGCUUGGGUUAUGUUUUGGAGUCUUAUAUGAAAAAGAGUUUUCCAUGGUUUCCUUAUGUCAUGCAUGUUUUAAAUGAAUUCUUGUUAAAUGAGAAAAUGAGUUUUCAUAAAUUUAUGUUCCUCAUGUUGAUGUGCAUCUAUAAUGAUUUGCCUAAAUGUUGCAUGAGUUGACUUAUGAGCAUGUUUAAAAGUGUUUUGAUGAUG